CGUGUAGGCGGAUUUGCAAGUCAAAUGUGAAAACCGGCGGCUUAACCUCCGGCCUGCAUUUGAUACUGCUGAUCUUGAGUACGGAAGAGGAGAGUGGAAUUCCAGGUGUAGCGGUGACAUGCGUAGAUAUCUGGAAGAACACCAGUGGCGAAGGCGGCUCUCUGGACCAAUACUGACGCUGAGGCGCGAAAGCGUGGGGAGCAAACA
This 207-nucleotide ribosomal RNA is filed under the name uncultured bacterium. Its description in RNAcentral is "partial 16S ribosomal RNA". It matches the Rfam family "Bacterial small subunit ribosomal RNA", at positions 568 to 774 of the family's 1533-position model. The record is from RNAcentral.